Molecule: ribosomal RNA, 922 nt
Filed under: uncultured bacterium
Lineage: Bacteria
Description: bacterial SSU rRNA
Rfam family: Bacterial small subunit ribosomal RNA
Source: RNAcentral
ACGCUGACAGAAUGCUUAACACAUGCAAGUCUACUUGAACUUCGGUUUGGGUGGCGGACGGGUGAGUAACGCGUAAAGAACUUGCCUCACAGUUAGGGACAACAUUUGGAAACGAAUGCUAAUACCUGAUAUUAUGAUUUUAGGGCAUCCUAAGAUUAUGAAAGCUAUAUGCGCUGUGAGAGAGCUUUGCGUCCCAUUAGCUAGUUGGAGAGGUAACGGCUCACCAAGGCGAUGAUGGGUAGCCGGCCUGAGAGGGUGAACGGCCACAAGGGGACUGAGACACGGCCCUUACUCCUACGGGAGGCAGCAGUGGGGAAUAUUGGACAAUGGACCAAAAGUCUGAUCCAGCAAUUCUGUGUGCACGAUGACGUUUUUCGGAAUGUAAAGUGCUUUCAGUUGGGAAGAAAAAAAUGACGGUACCAACAGAAGAAGUGACGGCUAAAUACGUGCCAGCAGCCGCGGUAAUACGUAUGUCACAAGCGUUAUCUGGGUUUAUUGGGCGUAAAGCGCGUCUAGGUGGUUAUGUAAGUCUGAUGUGAAAAUGCAGGGCUCAACUCUGUAUUGCGUUGGAAACUGCAUGACUAGAGUACUGGAGAGGUAAGCGGAACUACAAGUGUAGAGGUGAAAUUCGUAGAUAUUUGUAGGAAUGCCGAUGGGGAAGCCAGCUUACUGGACAGAUACUGACGCUAAAGCGCGAAAGCGUGGGUAGCAAACAGGAUUAGAUACCCUGGUAGUCCACGCCGUAAACGAUGAUUACUAGGUGUUGGGGGUCGAACCUCAGCGCCCAAGCUAACGCGAUAAGUAAUCCGCCUGGGGAGUACGUACGCAAGUAUGAAACUCAAAGGAAUUGACGGGGACCCGCACAAGCGGUGGAGCAUGUGGUUUAAUUCGACGCAACGCGAGGAACCUUACCAGCGUUUGA